AUUCAACGCGAGGGGUAGGGGGAGAGACGGUCGAUUUCUUUACUUCUUAAAGUUUCCCUCAGUGGUCCACGUUUAAAACGACAAAGAAAGACACAAGGGGAGUGAUAUAUGGAGGUCUGUCCAGCAACCUUGCUCAAAUUCAGAUUGCAACGCGGAGAACUUCGCGUAAACACGAUGGGGAGAUUUCAUUCUAAGGGGUCCUCUUGAAUGCAGAGAAAGAAGUCUCGGUCAAAGGCCUCUACAAUGUUCUUCAGGAGAUUGGAGACCAAACUUCACCUGGAAAAGGACGGUAAGACAAGAAGUGAUGAUGAGGAUUCUUCACAAAUACUGGCAUUUCCAGCACAGCAGAGUGCAGCAGCACAGAGUCAUUUGGAUGAUGCUUCUGAAUUGCAACCUGCUGCGGCAACCAGUAAUGAUGAUACUGCCUCUCGGCAUCUCUUUUAAGCAAUCUGCCUGACUGCAGGAAUCAAAAUCAGUACAGGUAUUUUAAAUCAGCGUAUACGUUUCCAGUUGUUGCCAGAAAGAAACUGGGAUGCGCACUAUGCAAAUACAUAGUAUCACUUGGUGUUCAGAGAAAGAGCGCCAUGAAGUACACUCUUAUCAAAGGAAUGCAGGAAUGUGAAAUCACUGCGUAUGGGGAAAGUAAAGAGAAACAACAAACUUGCUUAAGGAAAAAAAAAUACAUGAUCACAAAGAAUCCAGUGGUCACAAAGAGGCAGCUAAACUCCUUGAAAAGAAAGCUGAAGGUGCAUUUGAGGCUGGUUUACUGAAGGCACAGGAACAUUUCCUCAACCAAAUGCGUGUUUCGCACAGCAUACUAUAUUGCAAAAAACCCCAGGCCUUUCACAGGUCAUCCAGAUCUGCUGGGCUUGCAAAAAUUAAAUGGUGUAAAUACAGGAAGAGUUCUGCAAUCACAUGUCAGUUGUUCAGACAUUACUGAUUUAAUUGCAAAGGAAAUGAAGGAUGCUUUAAUAUGUAAUAUAAUAUCUACUCAACCUCCAAUGCCCAUACUUAUUGAUGGGGUACAUCAUUGAGCAAGAAAUCUUCUCUCUGUUUAUCUGAAGUGUUCAGUUGAAAAUUCAGAACCUACCACAUUUUUUCUAAGACCUACUUGAACUUAGUUCUACAAUUUCCGAUGUCAUCACUUCUGCAUGGCUUGACUGCUACAUAAGCAUGGCCUUGAUGACAACCUGCUAAAGCAAUGCUUAUAGGAUUUUGCUCAGAUGGAGCAUCACUGAUGGUGUUUGGUGUUUUUGUGAAGCUGAAACACAAUUGUCCUCGUUUAAAUGGGUGGCAUUGCCUUAACCACAGGCUGGAACUCUAGGGGAUCAUGGACAAACUUUAUACUCUUUAGAGACAGUAGCUGGGUAGCUUCAUCUUUUAGGACCGUAGAGGCAGUCUGGAACUUCACUUCAGCACUCCACUCUCAUUUCUGCCGCGCUAGUCAAGAUGAUUCAAGAGAGUCAUGAGAAAGAGCCGUGUUUGGUGGGCUUGCCAAAAAGCGCUUCAUCAGAAUUCCUCGUGAAUUUGGGAUUGAGGCUUGAUGGAUUAGAACAACGGUGGGCAACCUCAGAGGACGCCGCGGUCCGGCCCUCAAACCACUCCAAGGGCCGCAAGACCCCCUUUACCACAAUUACAAGGCAAAAUGAAACAUUUUAAUUUAAAGAGCUUUACAUUAUAUAAACAAUAAGAAUGUAAUAAAGGAUUGAACAUCAAUACAAAAGAAAAAGCAUUUAAAGUCAUAAAUAUACUACUUAAUGCGACUUCUGGGUGAUCAUAUUUUGCACCAGCUUUUUGAAGUUAGGAGUAAGGCAGGUGCAGGCACAUCACAACUCAGCAGCGAGGUUUCCACCUUUUGCGUUUGUUGUUUUUGAUGUUUCCCAUCACAGAGGAUGUCUGUUCGCAUGUGUAGGUUGAACGAAAAAUUGAUAACAGCUUUGCAGCUCAAAGGAGGUGAACAAUAUAAUCGGUUUGAAAAUUAAAAGAAUGAUAAAUAAGAA
This is a long non-coding RNA of Acipenser ruthenus (sterlet), 2000 nucleotides long. RefSeq lists it as uncharacterized. The transcript has 3 exons. The record is from RefSeq and is a predicted model, not a curated record. Lineage: Eukaryota; Metazoa; Chordata; Actinopteri; Acipenseriformes; Acipenseridae.